CCUACCAAGGCGACGAUCCAUAGCUGGUCUGAGAGGAUGAUCAGCCACAUUGGGACUGAGACACGGCCCAAACUCCUACGGGAGGCAGCAGUGGGGAAUAUUGGACAAUGGGCGCAAGCCUGAUCCAGCCAUGCCGCGUGAGUGAUGAAGGCCUUAGGGUUGUAAAGCUCUUUCACCGGAGAAGGUAAUGACGGUAUCCGGAGAAGAAGCCCCGGCUAACUUCGUGCCAGCAGCCGCGGUAAUACGAAGGGGGCUAGCGUUGUUCGGAAUUACUGGGCGUAAAGCGCACGUAGGCGGGCAUUUAAGUCAGGGGUGAAAUCCCAGAGCUCAACUCUGGAACUGCCUUUGAUACUGGGUGUCUUGAGUAUGGAAGAGGUAAGUGGAAUCCCGAGUGUAGAGGUGAAAUUCGUAGAUAUUCGGAGGAACACCAGUGGCGAAGGCGGCUUACUGGUCCAUUACUGACGCUGAGGUGUGAAAGCGUGGGGAGCAAACAGGAUUAGAUACCCUGGUAGUCCACGCCGUAUACGAUGAAUGUUAGCCGUCGGGCAGUUGACUGUUCGGUGGCGCAGCUAACGCAUUAAACAUUCCGCCUGGGGAGUACGGUCGCAAGAUUAAAACUCAAAUGAAUUGACGG
Molecule: ribosomal RNA, 634 nt
Filed under: uncultured bacterium
Lineage: Bacteria
Description: bacterial SSU rRNA
Rfam family: Bacterial small subunit ribosomal RNA
Source: RNAcentral